GAGCUCAGGCAGAAGGUGGCCUCUGCACACCCACCGUCCAAACCUCCACACCUUCCGUUCCAGACUCACACCUGCCAGUUUAAGGUGGGGCUUCUCCAGGGAGCUCAGCAGAAUGUUCUGUGGCUUCAGGUCCAGGAGAUCAGAUGAUCCGCCAGUACCCGCAAGAUCCAUUUGAAGAUACUCAGGUCCUCGCGGGCCUAACGGGAGUUAGCAGAGGCCAGCGGACGAGGUCACCGGGAAAUCCCAUGCAGGCUGGACAGCAUCUUAUUAGAGAUCGCCCACGUGAAUGGGGUAGGAGAGAGAAGCCCCGUCUAAGACGGGGAUAGGGUAUGUUCAAAGAGGCCCCUCUCCUCGAAGACCAGCAACUGUGAAUGUGGAAGUACCGGAACAAGAAAGUACCAUGGAAGAGGACAAGCAAUCUCAGUCAGGGGCUCACCCCCGGGGUGAGGACUGAGCCUGCCCAGACCGGCCAGGGAGCUGAGUGACCAGACACAGCAUCUUCACCGUCUCUUCUCGCCUCCGACUGGCCUGCCUCAACCCCUAUCUACCCUGUGGGAGACUCCCAACUGUCCAAGUACAACAGACAUCAGCACCA
Molecule: long non-coding RNA, 595 nt
Organism: Odocoileus virginianus texanus
Lineage: Eukaryota; Metazoa; Chordata; Mammalia; Artiodactyla; Cervidae
Source: RefSeq, a predicted model, not a curated record